CGUACACUCCUACGGGAGGCAGCAGUGGGGAAUAUUGGACAAUGGGCGCAAGCCUGAUCCAGCCAUGCCGCGUGAGUGAUGAAGGCCCUAGGGUUGUAAAGCUCUUUCACCGGUGAAGAUAAUGACGGUAACCGGAGAAGAAGCCCCGGCUAACUUCGUGCCAGCAGCCGCGGUAAUACGAAGGGGGCUAGCGUUGUUCGGAUUUACUGGGCGUAAAGCGCACGUAGGCGGACUAUUAAGUCAGGGGUGAAAUCCCGGGGCUCAACCCCGGAACUGCCUUUGAUACUGGUAGUCUUGAGUUCGAGAGAGGUGAGUGGAAUUCCGAGUGUAGAGGUGAAAUUCGUAGAUAUUCGGAGGAACACCAGUGGCGAAGGCGGCUCACUGGCUCGAUACUGACGCUGAGGUGCGAAAGCGUGGGGAGCAAACAGGAUUAGAUACCCCUGUAGUCCCA
Molecule: ribosomal RNA, 451 nt
Filed under: uncultured organism
Description: partial 16S ribosomal RNA
Rfam family: Bacterial small subunit ribosomal RNA
Source: RNAcentral